Long non-coding RNA from Olea europaea var. sylvestris, 790 nucleotides. RefSeq lists it as uncharacterized. Lineage: Eukaryota; Viridiplantae; Streptophyta; Magnoliopsida; Lamiales; Oleaceae. The transcript is spliced from 3 exons. The record is from RefSeq and is a predicted model, not a curated record.
UUUGUUGUUGUUUUAAAACCUGGACACCACUGAUCGUGAAGUUUGUGAUGUGCUUAUACCUGAACUUGUUAAAGAGAAAAAUAUCAGGGAGAAUUAGUGUUUCUAUCUACUCCUCAGACUAUUAAAAGUGGUUUUUGUUAACUCUGUCCUGAUAAUUGAUGUUAUAUUGGUGAUAGGGAGCAAUUUAGUUUUACUAUCUAGAAAGUACUGAUUAUGAAGAUUGUGCUUAUAGGUUUAUACCUAAAUUUGUGAGAGAGAAAUAUCAUUGAGAAUUAGUGUUUGUAAGUCGUUUUUGUUCACUUUGUUCUGAUAAUUGAUGUUAUAUUGGUGAUAGGGAGCAAUUUGGUUUUACAUUCUAGAAAGCACUGAUUAUGAAGUUUGUGCUGAUACGUUUGUGCCUAAAUUUGUGAAUGAGAAAAUUAACAGUGAGAAUUAGUGUUUGUAAGUGGUUUUUGUUCACUUUGUCCUGAUAAUUGAUGUUAUAUUGGUGAUAGGGAGCAAUUUUGUUUUACAAUCUAGAAAGCACAGUUCAUGAAGUUUAUGCUGAUAGGUGAAUUUGAAACCGAAGGUUCCCACCAGGGCCAUAUGUACAGAGCAUCUUGAACUAAGAAAAGAAAUACUGACUCUCCUGAGUCUCCAGAAACAGGAAGUAUUCACCUGCUGAUCUUAGUCCAAAUUUGGCAACUGAGUGAAGUCCACGAAGGUGGUUCUGUAGUUGUCCAAAUUUUGGUAGAUUCCAGCAAACAAGAUUAAAGUUGAUUUUAUAUAAGAAUGGUUGAUUAUCGCUUUU